UACGUAGGGUGCAAGCGUUGUCCGGAAUUAUUGGGCGUAAAGAGCUCGUAGGCGGUUCGUCGCGUCGGCUGUGAAAACCCGGAGCUCAACUCCGGGCCUGCAGUCGAUACGGGCGGACUAGAGUUCGGCAGGGGAGACUGGAAUUCCUGGUGUAGCGGUGGAAUGCGCAGAUAUCAGGAGGAACACCGGUGGCGAAGGCGGGUCUCUGGGCCGAUACUGACGCUGAGGAGCGAAAGCGUGGGGAGCGAACAGG
This 253-nucleotide ribosomal RNA is filed under the name uncultured bacterium. Its description in RNAcentral is "partial 16S ribosomal RNA". It matches the Rfam family "Bacterial small subunit ribosomal RNA", at positions 524 to 776 of the family's 1533-position model. The record is from RNAcentral.